Molecule: ribosomal RNA, 253 nt
Filed under: uncultured bacterium
Lineage: Bacteria
Description: partial 16S ribosomal RNA
Rfam family: Bacterial small subunit ribosomal RNA
Source: RNAcentral
UACAGAGGGUGCUAACGUUGUUCGGAAUUACUGGGCAUAAAGCGCACGUAGGCGGCCAGAUAAGUGUAGAGUGAAAUCCCACGGCUUACCCGUGGAACUGCUUUGCAUACUGUCUGGCUAGAGGAAGGUAGGGGAGAGCAGAACUCUUGGAGGAGCGGUGAAAUGCGUAGAUAUCAAGAGGAAUACCAGUGGCGAAGGCGGCUCUCUGGUCCUUUUCUGACGCUGAGGUGCGAAAGCUAGGGUAGCGAACGGG